GUGGGGAAUAUUGGGCAAUGGGCGAAAGCCUGACCCAGCAACGCCGCGUGAAGGAAGAAGGCUUUCGGGUUGUAAACUUCUUUUGUCAGGGACGAAAAAAAUGACGGUACCUGACGAAUAAGCCACGGCUAACUACGUGCCAGCAGCCGCGGUAAUACGUAGGUGGCAAGCGUUAUCCGGAUUUACUGGGUGUAAAGGGCGUGUAGGCGGGAAAGCAAGUCAGAUGUGAAAACUAUGGGCUCAACCCAUAGCCUGCAUUUGAAACUGUUUUUCUUGAGUACUGGAGAGGCAGAUGGAAUUCCUAGUGUAGCGGUGAAAUGCGUAGAUAUUAGGAGGAACACCAGUGGCGAAGGCGAUCUGCUGGACAGCAACUGACGCUGAGGCGCGAAAGCGUGGGGAGCAAACAGGAUUAGAAACCCUUGUAGUCC
Molecule: ribosomal RNA, 428 nt
Filed under: uncultured bacterium
Lineage: Bacteria
Description: partial 16S ribosomal RNA
Rfam family: Bacterial small subunit ribosomal RNA
Source: RNAcentral